AUAUGCAGCCCCAGGGCUGCAUGCGGCCCGCAUGGAAUCACUGUGGGGCCCGUGGCAAGCGGUGGGGUGGGGCUGCUGGGCUUGCCCCCUGCCCGGGGCGGGCCCUGCCUCAUAGCCCUGCGCUAACGGCCAGAACCGCACGUGUCUCCGUCUCCCGCUCCCCCCACUUGGCGUACAGCGGGUGCAUCACUUCCGGGGCCCACUGAGGCGGGAAGCGCUGGGCACGAGGCAGAGCCGACAUUCUGCCAGCAGAAGAAGUCGUGAAAUCGAUUGCAUGACUGAUGAGUUCUCAACUCCUUGUUGCCAGCUCUAUUGGCUGCUCUGGAAGGGAGAGGAGCAAGCAGCAUCGUUCCUGACUAGUGACGAAUUUCCAGGCGUGCGAGAGCAGCUGUAGAAGUCCAGAAGCUUUGCAGGCCCACCAUGCCAGGGAGAAAUGUACUGAAGAUUAAAGACCUUUCACAAGACUCUGUAUGCCACUGAGCUCUUCAGCAAUGACACAACGGAGCGGAGUGCGGUGGGAGAGACAUCAGACCCUGGUGAAACCCAUUGCGGUGACUGAUGCGCUAGAUGGAGCUAACUCCCGAGCAGGAGACCUGGCACCUUUUCCCUUGGCAACAGAAUGAGCUAAGGAGGGACGGGUAAAAGA
Molecule: long non-coding RNA, 646 nt
Organism: Mauremys reevesii (Reeves's turtle)
Lineage: Eukaryota; Metazoa; Chordata; Testudines; Geoemydidae
Exons: 3
Source: RefSeq, a predicted model, not a curated record